GUAUUUUAUUUACAGACAGGGUCUCACUGAGUUGCUUAGCGCCUCCCCAAAUUGCUGAGGCUGGCUUUGAACUCACCGUCUUCCUGCCUCAGCCUCCCAAGCUUCUGGGAUUACAGGCGUGCGCCACCAAGCUCGGCCAAGAAGAGCUUUUGAAACCAAUUGUCUGAUGGAUACACUCUAGAUGGACUGUGAUCACACAUCAGGUCGGUGACUACUACUGAAGAAGAAAUCCGUGGUUCAGAAAGAAGUGCCUGUGACUGAUGCCAUGUGUAAGCCCUGUUUAUAGCUUCAUACUAUGUCCAAAUUAUUGCAUUUAGAAAACGUGUGUAUUUUCAGAUUACUUACUUACAGUUUUGACAUGUUCACUGAAGAAAAAGAAAUGUCAAAACUGUAAGUAAGGCAAGAGGGCUGGGGAUGUGGCUCAAGCGGUAGCGCGCUUGCCUGGCAUGCGUGCGG
RNAcentral lists this long non-coding RNA (456 nucleotides) under Marmota monax (woodchuck). Lineage: Eukaryota; Metazoa; Chordata; Mammalia; Rodentia; Sciuridae. The record is from RNAcentral.